RNAcentral lists this ribosomal RNA (467 nucleotides) under uncultured bacterium. RNAcentral's name for it is "partial 16S ribosomal RNA". It matches the Rfam family "Bacterial small subunit ribosomal RNA", at positions 28 to 507 of the family's 1533-position model. The record is from RNAcentral.
GACGAACGUUGGCGGCGUGCUUAACACAUGCAAGUCGAACGGAAAGGCCUCUUUCGGGGGGUACUCGAGUGGCGAACGGGUGAGUAACACGUGAGUAACCUGCCCUUGACUUUGGGAUAACUUCAGGAAACUGGGGCUAAUACCGGAUAGGAGCUCCUGCUGCAUGGUGGGGGUUGGAAAGUUUCGGCGGUUGGGGAUGGACUCGCGGCUUAUCAGCUUGUUGGUGGGGUAGUGGCUUACCAAGGCUUUGACGGGUAGCCGGCCUGAGAGGGUGACCGGCCACAUUGGGACUGAGAUACGGCCCAGACUCCUACGGGAGGCAGCAGUGGGGAAUAUUGCACAAUGGGUGGAAGCCUGAUGCAGCAACGCCGUGUGCGGGAUGACGGCCUUCGGGUUGUAAACCGCUUUCGCACAUGACGAAGCUUUGUGUGACGGUAGUGGGUAAAGAAGCACCGGCUAACUACGUG